RNAcentral lists this ribosomal RNA (759 nucleotides) under uncultured Prevotella sp. Its description in RNAcentral is "bacterial SSU rRNA". It matches the Rfam family "Bacterial small subunit ribosomal RNA", at positions 28 to 776 of the family's 1533-position model. Lineage: Bacteria; Pseudomonadati; Bacteroidota; Bacteroidia; Bacteroidales; Prevotellaceae. The record is from RNAcentral.
GAUGAACGCUGGCUACAGGCUUAACACAUGCAAGUCGAGGGGAAACGACGGGGAAGCUUGCUUCCUUGGGCGUCGACCGGCGCACGGGUGAGUAACGCGUAUCCAACCUGCCUCUGACUGAGGGAUAACCCGUCGAAAGUCGGCCUAAUACCUCAUGGCAUCGUCUGCGGGCAUCCAACGACGAUUAAAGAUUUCAUCGGUCAGGGAUGGGGAUGCGUCUGAUUAGCUUGUUGGCGGGGUAACGGCCCACCAAGGCUACGAUCAGUAGGGGUUCUGAGAGGAAGGUCCCCCACAUUGGAACUGAGACACGGUCCAAACUCCUACGGGAGGCAGCAGUGAGGAAUAUUGGUCAAUGGGCGAGAGCCUGAACCAGCCAAGUAGCGUGCAGGAUGACGGCCCUAUGGGUUGUAAACUGCUUUUAUGCGGGGAUAAAGUGAGGGACGUGUCCUUCAUUGCAGGUACCGCAUGAAUAAGGACCGGCUAAUUCCGUGCCAGCAGCCGCGGUAAUACGGAAGGUCCGGGCGUUAUCCGGAUUUAUUGGGUUUAAAGGGAGCGUAGGCCGUGGAUUAAGCGUGUUGUGAAAUGCAGGUGCUCAACGUCUGCACUGCAGCGCGAACUGGUUCACUUGAGUGUGCGCAACGCAGCGGAAUUCGUCGUGUAGCGGUGAAAUGCUUAGAUAUGACGAAGAACUCCGAUUGCGAAGGCAGCUUGCGGGAGCACAACUGACGCUGAAGCUCGAAAGUGCGGGUAUCGAACAGG